Molecule: non-coding RNA, 295 nt
Organism: Heterocephalus glaber (naked mole-rat)
Lineage: Eukaryota; Metazoa; Chordata; Mammalia; Rodentia; Bathyergidae
Source: Rfam
AGAUGUGAAGGGGAUCUGGCUGCAAUCACCAGGCUGAUGCAGCUGAUCUACUUGGCUAGGUGGGCAUCCCCUUCCUCCCUCACUGUUCCAUGUGUAUCCCUCCUGAAGCUGCACCCCAGAUUGAAGAGGACCUUCUCUGAUAAAAGACCAUUCUUUACACAAGUGUAUACGAGUAGCUGCACUUCCUUGCCAAAAACUGUAAAUGAAAAACACCUCAUGAUGCAAAUACAUCAUCAACGCAGCACUAUGUAAUAUCCAGAGAGCAAUUUCAAUGUUUCCACCCUUUAAAUUUUCU